AAAUUGAAGAGUUUGAUCAUGGCUCAGAUUGAACGCUGGCGGCAGGCCUAACACAUGCAAGUUGAACGGUAACAGGAAGCAGCUUGCUGCUUUGCUGACGAGUGGCGGACGGGUGAGUAAUGUCUGGGAAACUGCCUGAUGGAGGGGGAUAACUACUGGAAACGGUAGCUAAUACCGCAUAACGUCGCAAGACCAAAGAGGGGGACCUUCGGGCCUCUUGCCAUCGGAUGUGCCCAGAUGGGAUUAGCUAGUAGGUGGGGUAACGGCUCAC
This 271-nucleotide ribosomal RNA is filed under the name Escherichia coli. Its description in RNAcentral is "partial 16S ribosomal RNA". It matches the Rfam family "Bacterial small subunit ribosomal RNA", at positions 1 to 268 of the family's 1533-position model. Lineage: Bacteria; Pseudomonadati; Pseudomonadota; Gammaproteobacteria; Enterobacterales; Enterobacteriaceae. The record is from RNAcentral.